RNAcentral lists this ribosomal RNA (308 nucleotides) under uncultured bacterium. Its description in RNAcentral is "bacterial SSU rRNA". It matches the Rfam family "Bacterial small subunit ribosomal RNA", at positions 28 to 326 of the family's 1533-position model. The record is from RNAcentral.
GACGAACGCUGGCGGCGUGCCUAAUACAUGCAAGUCGAACGAACGGAUAAAGAGCUUGCUCUUUUGAAGUUAGUGGCGACGGGUGAGUAACACGUGGGUAACCUGCCUCACAGCUGGGGAUAACAUCGAGAAAUCGAUGCUAAUACCGAAUGUGCUGAACAUCAUAAGAUGUUCAAGUGAAAGACGGUUUCGGCUGUCACUGUGAGAUGGAUCCGCGCUGGAUUAGCUAGUUGGUAAGGUAAUGGCUUACCAAGGCGACGAUCCAUAGCCGACCUGAGAGGGUGAUCGGCCACAUUGGGACUGAGACA